AGUGAACGCUGGCGGCGUGCUUAAUACAUGCAAGUCGAACGAUGAAGUCCUAGCUUGCUAGGAUGGAUUAGUGGCGCACGGGUGAGUAAUAUAUAGUUAAUCUGCCUUGCACUGAGGAACAUCAGUUGGAAACGAUUGCUAAUACCUCAUACUCCAACUUUACAUAAGUUAAGUUGGGAAAGUCUUUUCGGUGCAAGAUGAGACUAUAUCGUAUCAGCUAGUUGGUAAGGUAAUGGCUUACCAAGGCUAUGACGCGUAACUGGUCUGAGAGGAUGAUCAGUCACAUUGGAGCUGGGACACGGUCCAAACUCCUACGGGAGGCAGCAGUAAGGAAUAUUGUGCAAUGGGGGAAACCCUGACGCAGCAACGACGCGUGGAGGAUGACACUUUUCGGAGCGUAAACUCCUUUUGUUAGGGAAGAAUAAUAACGGUACCUAACGAAUAAGCACCGGCUAACUCCGU
Molecule: ribosomal RNA, 462 nt
Filed under: uncultured bacterium
Lineage: Bacteria
Description: partial 16S ribosomal RNA
Rfam family: Bacterial small subunit ribosomal RNA
Source: RNAcentral